RNAcentral lists this ribosomal RNA (456 nucleotides) under Triticum aestivum (bread wheat). RNAcentral describes it as "partial small subunit ribosomal RNA". Lineage: Eukaryota; Viridiplantae; Streptophyta; Magnoliopsida; Poales; Poaceae. The record is from RNAcentral.
AUGGAACAUGAGAUUUUUAAGUCUAUCAUGGACUAUCUUAGAAGAGAGAAUCUAUUGAAGGGCACGUCGUGUGUUGCUGUCGAGGAGCAGUUGACAAUGUUUAUGUACAUGAUUUCGCACAAUGCUAGUAAUCAAGAUCUACAAAAAUACUUCCAACACAGCGCAGAAACAAAUCAUAGGAAGAUAAACAAGAUUUUUGACUUAAUUCCAACUCUAGCCCAAAGAUUUAUAAAGAUUCCAAGUUCACUCCAGCCCCACCCAAAGAUCGUUUUGCAUUUUCAAGUAAAAUACCUCCUAAUUCAUUUUCAAGUAAAUACCAAGUUCACUCCAGCCCCACCCAAAUCAAGACUACAAAUAAUACCUCCUAUUUCAUUAAAAUACCUCCUAUUUCAAGUAAAAGAUAUAAUCUGGAGACUAUUUCAAGUAAACAAAUUGGGUUACUGGACAGCCUUGUGA